AAGACCUCUCAGGAAUGCUGGCAUGAGACAAGGAGAAAUGCCAGAACACCAAUUCUCUGGUGCAAAGCUUCUUGUUCUGAUACUUUAGCUAAGAUGUGCCUAGGCACUGGAUCCUGGAGAUGCAAAUGUCAGAGAAAGAUACAUGAGCAGUAGGUUCUGGAUGAGGAGGUGACAUUCAGAAUGCCCUUUCCAUCACAUGCCAAAGCAGCUGAACAGCUUCAGUUACAGAACAGGGCCUGGAGUCCAGUAGAACUAGAAGCAAACCACAGCACAGGCAGAAGAGGCAGAAUCAGAGAAAUCCCUGGAUAAAGAUGGUCCUGCACAGACAUAAGGUGUGGGCAAAGUGCUGAUGUGAUGACAUCCAAGCAUGCUGAAAACAGGUCCCAUCCCACUUUCUAUUUAAAAAUCCUGUUCAUGUGGACACUCAGACAGGCUCUUUCUCCUUAGGAUGCUGAGAUACCAGUGUCAUCUCUUUCACUUUUCCUAUGUCUGCUAAACUGUUUGGCAUUAUGUCCAGAAUAGUGAAGGGCAGUCAUUGCCAAGUCCUUCCCCUGCUUAUCACUUACUGUUUGCAGGAAUGUUUCAGAAAAGGAUGUAAUUUCAUCAAAGAUUGCCUAAAUUCACUUCUACUGGGAAAUUAGUAUUUAGUAUCAGUGCCCUUAUAUUUCAGGGAAAGAAAAAAAUUAUUUAGUUCAGUGCCUUGAUUCUGCCUUAAAAACAUGUGAGAACUAGCUAUGGAAAAUCACUUUCUGGUCUAAUGUUUUUUCUUGCCAGACUCUGUAACUCAUACAGAGUAGAGUAGUAUCCCCCCAAAAUAAAUGGCAAUAUUUCAAUUCCAGAAUCAGGACAUUAACAUAUAGCAUUUUUUAUGUAAAAAAACCCCCAACACCAUCACCCUAAAACAGCAAAGGCUGGGCUAGUGACAGACCCUUUCCUGGGAAAUACAAAAAUCAUGUGGGUUAGAACUACACUUAUGAUUCUUCCAGAAAGUGCAAUGAUGUAGGAAGGAGUCUGAAGUUUCCUGACUUGCUCAUGAUUUCCCCACUGCCAAAAAAAGGAUCGCAAAUCCUUCCAGGGCUUUCUCUCAAGUGCUCUUGUUGGCCAUGUUGUUAGGGUAGGGCCUGCCUAGAGAGGUCAGUUUGCUCUGCAGCCUGUGAUGGACGUUCUGACAGGGAACACUCAGCCCCUGCUGCAGCAGCUUUUCUGCUGCCUCUGUGUAAAAUGAGAGCUGCCAGGAAUGUCAGCACAGGGCAAGCAGAAAUGUCAGAACAACGCUCUGUAGCAACACUGCUCAUCCCUGUACUUCUACUAGGAUGUGGCUGGACACUGAGCCCCAGAGAUGCCAACAGCAGUGGAAAAGCUUGGAGUAGGAGAUUCAGUCCAAGGAGAUGACCCUUGGGAUGCCCUUUCAAUCCCCCACCAAAGGAGCUGAGGGACUCCUGUUACAGAGCAGACUCUGCACUCUUCAGCAAGGGCUUGAUCUUGAAGAAGAGCUUCAUCCAGGGCCAGUGUUUGACAUUCAUGAAUGCACGAAUGUUGUACUGGAUGCAGAAGAUGGACUCUCUGAAAGGAAGAAAGAGUGAAGUCUCUACUGUACCCGGAAAAGAGCCGAGACAGUCUGGAAAGAAGAACCCUUCUUCUUGGCACCUUUCUUGCCUGCACCACUGGCCUCGGCUAAAUUAAAAAUAAAUAAAACAGAUUUUAGAUUUUUG
Molecule: long non-coding RNA, 1712 nt
Organism: Corapipo altera (White-ruffed manakin)
Lineage: Eukaryota; Metazoa; Chordata; Aves; Passeriformes; Pipridae
Exons: 8
Source: RefSeq, a predicted model, not a curated record